CAUGCAGUCGACGGCAGCACAGGGGAGCUUGCUCCCUGGGUGGCGAGUGGCGGACGGGUGAGGAAUACAUCGGAAUCUGCCUAUUUGUGGGGGAUAACCUCGGGAAACCGGGACUAAUACCGCAUACGACCUACGGGUGAAAGCAGGGGACCUUCGGGCCUUGCGCAGAUAGAUGAGCCGAUGUCGGAUUAGCUAGUUGGAGGGGUAAUGGCCCACCAAGGCGACGAUCCGUAGCAGGUCUGAGAGGAUGAUCAGCCACACUGGGACUGAGACACGGCCCAGACUCCUACGGGAGGCAGCAGUGGGGAAUAUUGGACAAUGGGCGAAAGCCUGAUCCAGCCAUGCCGCGUGAGUGAAGAAGGCCUUCGGGUUGUAAAGCUCUUUUGUUGGGAAAGAAAAGCAGCCGGUUAAUACCCGGUUGUUCUGACGGUACCCAAAGAAUAAGCACCGGCUAACUUCGUGCCCAG
This 467-nucleotide ribosomal RNA is filed under the name uncultured bacterium. RNAcentral describes it as "bacterial SSU rRNA". It matches the Rfam family "Bacterial small subunit ribosomal RNA", at positions 54 to 512 of the family's 1533-position model. The record is from RNAcentral.